CUCGUAGUUGGNUUUCGGAGCGGCGCGGUUGGUCAGCCGCAAGGUAUGUCACUGGGCGCGCUGUUCUUCUUCGCCAAGACUGCGCGUGCUCUUAGUUGAGUGUGCGCAGGAUUCGCGACGUUUACUUUGAAAAAUUU
RNAcentral lists this ribosomal RNA (137 nucleotides) under Lepidisis sp. Type B1l. RNAcentral's name for it is "partial 18S ribosomal RNA". The record is from RNAcentral. Lineage: Eukaryota; Metazoa; Cnidaria; Anthozoa; Scleralcyonacea; Keratoisididae.